CCCUUAGACGUUCUGGGCCGCACGCGCGCUACACUGACCAGUGCAACAAGCAUCCGUCCUUGGCCGACAGGCCCGGGCAAUCUUUGAACGCUGGUCGUGAUGGGGAUAGACUUUUGCAAUUUUUGGUCUUCAACGAGGAAUUCCUAGUAAACGCAAGUCAUCAACUUGCAUUGAUUACGUCCCUGCCCUUUGUACACACCGCCCGUCGCACCUACCGAUUGAAUGGUCCGGUGAAGCCUCCGGAUUGGCGCGCACCUCGGUGCCGCCGAGAAGUUGGCUAAUCCUUACCAUUUAGAGGAAGGUGAAGUCGUAACA
Molecule: ribosomal RNA, 315 nt
Filed under: uncultured eukaryote
Lineage: Eukaryota
Description: partial 18S ribosomal RNA
Rfam family: Eukaryotic small subunit ribosomal RNA
Source: RNAcentral